UCAACCAUCAAGCCUGGCUUGUCGUUGGACCCCUUUGUCGCCCGGCGACAGAUCCAAAAGAUAAUGACCGGCGUCGUGGUGACCCUACAUGCAACGAGCUUGUAAGAGCAUGCACGUGGUGGUUGUCCGGCUCGGUUGUCACCCUUUAUUUUCUCAA
This 157-nucleotide unclassified non-coding RNA is filed under the name uncultured Herpotrichiellaceae. RNAcentral's name for it is "sequence contains ITS2". Lineage: Eukaryota; Fungi; Ascomycota; Eurotiomycetes; Chaetothyriales; Herpotrichiellaceae. The record is from RNAcentral.